ACGCUGGCGGCACGCCUAAUACAUGCAAGUCGAACGAAGUAGCAAUACUUAGUGGCAGACGGGUGAGUAACAUGUGGGUAUCUUCCCUUUGGUGAGGAAUAACACGAGGAAACUUGUGCUAAUACCUCAUAAGUCUUUACGGAGAAAGCUUUAUGCGCCAAUGGAUGAGCCCGCACUUGAUUAGUUUGUUGGUGGGGUAAUGGCCUACCAAGACUGUGAUCAAUAGCUGAUUUGAGAGGAUGAUCAGCCACAUUGGGACUGAGACACGGCCCAAACUCCUACGGGAGGCAGCAGUAGGGAAUCUUGCACAAUGGAGGAAACUCUGAUGCAGCGAUGCCGCGUGAGUGAAGAAGGCCUUUGGGUUGUAAAGCUCUUUCGUCGGGGAAGAAAAUGACUGUACCCGAAUAAGAAGGUCCGGCUAACUUCGUGCCAGCAGCCGCGGUAAUACGAAGGGACCUAGCGUAGUUCGGAAUUACUGGGCUUAAAGAGUUCGUAGGUGGUUAAAAAAGUUGGUGGUGAAAGCCCAGAGCUUAACUCUGGAACGGCCAUCAAAACUUUUUAGCUAGAGUUUGAUAGAGGAAAGCAGAAUUUCUAGUGUAGAGGUGAAAUUCGUAGAUAUUAGAAAGAAUACCAAUUGCGAAGGCAGCUUUCUGGAUCAUUACUGACACUGAGGAACGAAAGCAUGGGUAGCGAAGAGGAUUAGAUACCCUCGUAGUCCAUGCCGUAAACGAUGUGUGUUAGAUGUUGGAAAUUUAUUUUCAGUAUCGCAGCGAAAGCAAUAAACACACCGCCUGGGGAGUACGACC
This 806-nucleotide ribosomal RNA is filed under the name uncultured Pelagibacteraceae bacterium. Its description in RNAcentral is "bacterial SSU rRNA". It matches the Rfam family "Bacterial small subunit ribosomal RNA", at positions 33 to 887 of the family's 1533-position model. The record is from RNAcentral. Lineage: Bacteria; Pseudomonadati; Pseudomonadota; Alphaproteobacteria; Candidatus Pelagibacterales; Candidatus Pelagibacteraceae.